This is a non-coding RNA of Meleagris gallopavo (turkey), 653 nucleotides long. Lineage: Eukaryota; Metazoa; Chordata; Aves; Galliformes; Phasianidae. The record is from RefSeq and is a predicted model, not a curated record.
AUUUGCGUGCCUUAGCGCGACUUCCACGAGGAUCUGCUCGGUGCUGUUUCCCAGUACAGAGUCGGCUGUGCUCCUUGUCUGUUUCCUCGCACGGUUGGAACUCGAGCCAGCCUCGGAAACAGGCAAUUCUGGCUCCCAGCGGCCCCCGCGCCCGUCGCCUGCAUAAUGAGGAGUCGGAAACGACACACGCGUAGGUGUGUACUGGAAAAUGCGCACGUUGCCGCACGCGCAGUGCAGUGCCAAGCGAGGUGCAUGCGUGUUGCGGUCUCGGGGCAGUGCAUGCGUAGGACCUUCUGCAUGUGUGCAGACAAGCUCUGGAUUUCCCAGAGAGCUUUUUGGCACUUCCGCACAUUCCAUGGCAUUGGUGCCACUCUGGACCCCCACUCACUCAGCUUUCAAAGCCUGUUGUACUGGCAUUUCUUCCCUUGUCCCCAUUUCCUCCGAUCCCAGUCCCUGUUUCCUACCUCAUCCCCAUUUUCCCCUUCCCUCGUCCCCUUUUCCUCCCAUUCCAAUUCCAUUAUUUUAUUUUUUUCUUUGUUGCCUAUUGGUGCCUUGUUGGAGUUUCCAUGACAACAGUGCAGACUUCUGACCAAGUGAGAUGCCAAAAGAAAAGAUCUGCUGAGUCCACUGCCAGAUGCUGUUGGCCUUCUGGG